This is a long non-coding RNA of Armigeres subalbatus, 512 nucleotides long. RefSeq lists it as uncharacterized. The transcript has 4 exons. The record is from RefSeq and is a predicted model, not a curated record. NCBI's taxonomy places the organism in Eukaryota, Metazoa, Arthropoda, Insecta, Diptera, Culicidae.
CACACUUGCAGCAAACCACUGGAAGACAUUUCGUCAACAGUGAUGGAUUCCUCCGGUGUGCGAACUUGUAGAGGACUCGCUACUUCAACCAUGCUGCGAACGCUCUCGGUAUACGAUCUAUACCGUGCCAGGCUUGCGUCGGGAGAUUGAUUCUUUGACGAUGGAGCUAGCGAGCGAGGCUUUCACGGCAAUAAGAACACCGCCGCCAGAGGAUUUAUCGGCAUUGGACAAUGUACGAUCGCAACGGUACGAUUCAUGAUUAAUAACUGGAAUGAAACUUGAGUAACGCAUUUCAAUGAUAAGUAUAAUAGUACAAUGAAGAACAACUGAGCCUUGGUUGCAGUUAUCCUGUGGAUGUGAGCAUAUCGUCCCGAAACCAAUAAUUUUUAUAUCAGACUAGCAGACCCGACGUUUAAAAUUGAUUUAUUCUCUGAUUAGUUUUCGAGUUAUGCAGAAAUGUCUGUUUCAUUUGUUUGGGAGUCCCCCUUUCUAAAAGGGGGGAUGGGUGUAGA